CCUACGGGUGGCAGCAGUGAGGAAUAUUGGUCAAUGGGCGCGAGCCUGAACCAGCCAAGUCGCGUGAAGGAUGAAUGCCCUACGGGUUGUAAACUUCUUUUAUAAAGGAAUAAAGUGAGCCACGUGUGCCUUUUUGCAUGUACUUUAUGAAUAAGGAUCGGCUAACUCCGUGCCAGCAGCCGCGGUAAUACGGAGGAUCCGAGCGUUAUCCGGAUUUAUUGGGUUUAAAGGGAGCGUAGAUGGGUUGUUAAGUCAGUUGUGAAAGUUUGUGGCUCAACCGUAAAAUUGCAAUUGAUACUGGAAGACUUGAGUACAGUUGAGGUAGGCGGAAUGCGUGGUGUAGCGGUGAAAUGCUUAGAUAUCACGAAGAACUCCGAUUGCGAAGGCAGCUUACUAAGCCGCAACUGACACUGAUGCUCGAAAGUGUGGGGAUCAAACAGGAUUAGAUACCCGAGUAGUC
This 460-nucleotide ribosomal RNA is filed under the name uncultured bacterium. RNAcentral's name for it is "partial 16S ribosomal RNA". It matches the Rfam family "Bacterial small subunit ribosomal RNA", at positions 338 to 795 of the family's 1533-position model. The record is from RNAcentral.